UACAGAGGGGGCAAGCGUUAUUCGGAAUUAUUGGGCGUAAAGGGCGCGUAGGCGGCUUUGCAAGUGACGGGUGAAAGCCCUCGGCUUAACCGAGGAACUGCCUGUCAGACUGUGAGGCUUGAGACCAGGAGAGGUGAGUGGAAUUCCCAGUGUAGCGGUGAAAUGCGUAGAUAUUGGGAGGAACACCAGUGGCGAAGGCGGCUCACUGGACCGGUACUGACGCUGAUGCGCGAAAGCGUGGGGAGCAAACGGG
RNAcentral lists this ribosomal RNA (253 nucleotides) under uncultured bacterium. RNAcentral describes it as "partial 16S ribosomal RNA". It matches the Rfam family "Bacterial small subunit ribosomal RNA", at positions 524 to 776 of the family's 1533-position model. The record is from RNAcentral.